ACGUGAAGUAGGAAUCGCUAGUAAUCGCAGGUCAGCAUACUGCGGUGAAUACGUUCCCGGGCCUUGUACACACCGCCCGUCACACCAUGGAAGUUGGCCAUGCCCGAAGUCGUUACUCCAACCCUUGUGGAGGAGGACGCCGAAGGUGGGGCUAAUGACUGGGGUGAAGUCGUAACAAGGUAGCCGUACCGGAAGGUGCGGCUGGAUCACCUCCUAACAGGGAGACAACAAAAUGUUUAAUAUUAUUAUUUUGUCACCUUAGGUCGAUCGGUAUCUCACGUUCUUAAUUUAUUAAGAAUUUCCUUUCCUAAGUUUUUCUAGGUCACACCCAUUAUUUUUCCUGGGCCAUUAGCUCAGGUGGUUAGAGCGCACCCCUGAUAAGGGUGAGGUCCCUGGUUCAAGUCCAGGAUGGCCCAUAUCUCUAUGUUGGGGGUAUAGCUCAGUUGGUAGAGCGCCUGCUUUGCAAGCAGGAUGUCAGCGGUUCGAGUCCGCUUACCUCCACUGAUUACCACCUCUUCCAUAAGCGGUAGAAAGGAAAUGUUUUGAGUUGUGAUCAAAUUCUGAACGAAUCUAGCUUCCUAAUGAAAUCAUUAAGAUGCUGGACUCAUUGAAUUAAAUUCAUUGUUUUCAGAGAACCUUGACAACUGCAUAGAUUAUUUUUAAAGACAAUAAGCAUCUUUAUUGAUGCAGAUUUAUUAUUUGUGCGAACGCACUAAUAACAAUUCUAUUAAGCUGAUGCUUCAAUUUUUGAAGUUAUUGGUCAAGCUACAAAGGGCUCACGGAGGAUACCUAGGCACACAGAGGCGAUGAAGGACGUGGUUACCUGCGAUAAGUCUCGGGGAGUGGA
This 847-nucleotide unclassified non-coding RNA is filed under the name uncultured bacterium. Its description in RNAcentral is "partial contains 16S ribosomal RNA, 16S-23S ribosomal RNA intergenic spacer". The stretch from base 1 to 217 matches the Rfam family "Bacterial small subunit ribosomal RNA", at positions 1318 to 1533 of the family's 1533-position model. The record is from RNAcentral.